RNAcentral lists this ribosomal RNA (251 nucleotides) under uncultured bacterium. Its description in RNAcentral is "partial 16S ribosomal RNA". It matches the Rfam family "Bacterial small subunit ribosomal RNA", at positions 524 to 776 of the family's 1533-position model. The record is from RNAcentral.
UACGUAGGGUGCAAGCGUUAAUCGGAAUUACUGGGCGUAAAGCGUGCGCAGGCGGCUUUGCAAGACAGAUGUGAAAUCCCCGGGCUCAACCUGGGAACUGCAUUUGUGACUGCAUGGCUUGAGUGCGGCAGAGGGGGAUGGAAUUCCGCGUGUAGCAGUGAAAUGCGUAGAUAUGCGGAGGAACACCGAUGCGAAGGCAAUCCCUGGGCCUGCACUGACGCUCAUGCACGAAAGCGUGGGGAGCAAACAGG